Long non-coding RNA from Phascolarctos cinereus (koala), 2786 nucleotides. RefSeq lists it as uncharacterized. Lineage: Eukaryota; Metazoa; Chordata; Mammalia; Diprotodontia; Phascolarctidae. The record is from RefSeq and is a predicted model, not a curated record.
AGUGACAAGUCCCUAAGUAUCCUAGCUUUGCGGGGGUUUCUUUUAAGAUCCAGUUCAAAGGAAAGCCAGGCACUGCAGAGCUAGGAGAGGACAGACUAGCAAGGCAACAUCUGUAAAGUCCAUUGUAGUGUAUUGGUGACGGUAACAAACAGUGUGCUGCAAAGCUACGUAGCAGGGAGCCAGUCUGUACUUCUAGUAAGCGCAACAUUUACAGGCACAGUGUAUAAAAUCGAUGGCUACAGAAGUAGCCACCGCCAAUCCUCAGAACAGCAAAAGAAGUCCCGAGCUCGCUCUCUCUUUGCAGCUUGCAAAUGGACAAUUAUUUGCAAGAGAACCUCUAUACUUAGGCUGCCUCCCUGCCCGACGCCGACACUCAACCCCUGGGCUUUCUUAUUCUUGUGGACCCUCAAAACCUUGGCUUCCAAAGCUGCCAGCAACCCAGUCUUUUAAGCUCUUCAAGAAAUGUUUCCUCUUGUCACUAAAGCCAAUUUCACCCACUGUGGAAGUUUACAAAGGGAAGUGGAGAGUUUGGGUGAGGACUUUAAAUUAAAUCAACAGAACCUCCCCUGAAAUGAUGGGGGACCUAGAUUUGACCAAGAUAGGCUGUUAGUAUGGCAAACUAUUCCCAUUGACAUUCCUACCAAGUAACACAUUAUGGUUGCAGCUUCUGUUUCCUAAAGGCUAGUUUAAGGUCAGUGCUGUAGCAAGCUUCUCUAUCGAGCAGGGUCUGGGGUGCAGAGGGUUUGGUGACAUCUGGCUGGGUAGGACCUGUUUUUCUUUGGAAUUGUUGUCAUUAAUACUUUGCAUAAGUGCCCUCACCAUCCAAUAUGAGGCCAACAGGGUUGAGCCUCAUAGUCUGGGGCCCAGGAGUAGAACUGAAGGUACCAGAACUCACCCCUGAAGAGCCAGCCAGUUUCCUGCCACCUUGAGCUGGGUCAGCAAGCACUGGCGGCCUUCUGCGCUCCAGGAGCCUGACACAAUCUGACUUUGCCCUCCCUACAUGCUGGGGCCUCGGAGCCUAAUGCUGUCACUGUACUUGGGAACCAUUGCCCCCAGUCUUGGGAAGGGCAGGUGGAUGAGGAGAAAAGGAGGCCACUGUCGGGCGCCGGUUCCCUGUCCUUAACCUCUCUCCAGUCUGGGAUACUUGAGGAGGGAGGACCAAGAACAGCCUGGAUUCCCUGUUUAAAGAUUAGAUUGAGAAGAAUGGCAUGCAAGGUUCGUGGUGAAAGGGCAGAUAGACGCCUUGCUGGCCGUCGAACCAGAGGGAGCGGUUCGGCUUUCUAUCUUGCGACUUAGUUGCCGGAAUGAGGGGCGGGCAGGCCGACCCUGGUGCAUCUUUCCCUUGGAGGCCAGGCACACUAGGCGUGGCUAGGGAUAGCACUCAGAAACCUGGAAAAGUCUUUGCUUUCCUUUCCCUGCAACAACCAACCUUAUUCCGGGCCCAGUUCCCCAGCCCCUCGGCCCUUGCCCCGCCCCGCCUAGUCUCUCCGGAGCUCACCACUAAGUUCCCAAGGACGAGCAGUUGGGACCUGGGUUUGCUAGGGCCAGGCCACCUCCACGUUCCAAACUUUGGGAGUCCAGGAGCGGAAGCAAAAGAGUGGAACUGGCGGAGCCGAGAUGCGGAAGGCUGCCUGAGCAGAAGGUUGAGGGGAAGGGACUAGGACCCACGAACAGUUUCUCACAGGACAAGUCAGACUAGCCAGAGUAAAAUUUCAGGUCCUGGAGAUGAUUCAGAAGGGAUUAGAAAUUUGAACUGUGAUGACCUUGGACCUAAGACUGCAGGCAGAAUUGGUGCAGCAAGCCAGGCUGGCGUGGAAGCCCUGAGAACCCAGGAUACCUGCUACUCAAACCUGAGGGCAAAACCACGUCCUUGGAUGGCUGCCAGGAUAUGCUGGGGACAUUUGACAAACAGUACCAUGAUUGAAUGAAAAAGUGACUCGGGGGGCCUUGGGACACAUCAAUAUGAAAUAACUAUGUGAAAAGCUUAGAGGACGGAGGGUUGGAGAAAUCAAGAGAUGAAGCCAUCACCACCACCUCUACCCUCCCUUAAAAGCCUUUACAAUUGUUGUCCAUCCUCCCUGUCCCUCCCCCAGUCCUCUGUGGAUAGAGGUGAGUGAACAAGACCAGCAAUAGCUCUCUAAGGAGGAGCAGCAAAGGCCUGGAAUCUAUGAGAGCUGGCUUCUACUCCUUACUCUAUCCCUUACUAAUGGUGUGACUUCAGGAGAGCAAUUUCACUUUUCUGGCCUUCAGUUUGCUCAUCCAUAAAAUGGGGAUAACAUGUACCCUCAUCCACAGUAUAACCUUCUCAUGAGGAUCCAAUGAAAUAGUAUAUAUGAAAUGUUUCAUUAAUUGGGAAGAUCUCUGCGUAUUUGCUUCAUGAAUACUUCAAAAGAUCCUCAAAAUUUCAUAGACCGGGGUCACCCCAAACAGAUAAAGUUCUGUACCCUUAGUACAAUGAUGUCAAAUGCAAAUUCAAAGAAAACCAUUAAACUGUUAUUAGGAUCCCUGUGGGAUGCAUAUUGACUUAGAAAACCACAUAUUAACAUUAUCGCUGGUCUAUUGUAUUUUUAUUUAUUCUGUUAAAUAUAUUUCCCAGUUACAUAUUAAAUCUGGUUCAGAAUUGCUGCCAGUGAACUGCAUGUUUGACAUACCUGCCUUCAUAGAUAGUGCUUACUAAGUUAGUGUAGUCAAACAUUCACUAUCUGAUGGCCAACCUUUGACCAUGAGCCCCUCUAAGUUUAGUUGAAGUAGUAGUAGUAGUAUUAGUGGUGGUGGUGGUGGUGAUG